GUUAUAAAUACGACAUGUUGAUCCGAGAAGCUCACACAACUCGAUCACCCUUCUAAGUCACUCUCGACACCAUCACGCAACCAUCACCUCUUUCACGUAACCCGCGAAUCGCCGGAGCCUGCCGGAAAGAUCAAAGUCCUCGCCGGAGUUCGAAGGGACCAUCGGAGUUCAGUCGGGGAACCAAGCUCGCCGGAGUUUUAUGACGGAAUCAACACGUCAACUCUUCGGUUAAUCACUUUUGUUCGUAUCUCUUGGAUUUUCCAUCUUUACUAGUUCGUUAUUACAAGA
Molecule: long non-coding RNA, 288 nt
Filed under: Helianthus annuus (common sunflower)
Lineage: Eukaryota; Viridiplantae; Streptophyta; Magnoliopsida; Asterales; Asteraceae
Description: sRNA HanXRQr2_Chr12g0560481
Source: RNAcentral